UCCUACCUGGCAUUUUGACUCUAUUUACAGAGGAACAAAACCAAGGAAAUUUGAGUAAAAUCUUCUGAUCCACAGGAUGACAUGAACACUAUGUGAUGCAACUAAAAUUUUACUAGAGGAGCCUUCACCUAUGAAUCAAAGGGAAAAAAGAUCACUGGCUCUUCUGUAUUUCAAGGCAACGAAGUGAUCAAGAUGGAGGAGAAGCUCUAGUGAUUUAAAAAACUCCAGUCAGUAACACAGAAACAGAGAAAGGGAAUUUAAGACUUACAAGUGUUUCAGAAAUAGAUUACAAGAAAGGCAGAACCGAAAUAUUUUGCCCAUGAGAAGAAUUCGAGUAUGUUAAAUCUUUUCCUGGAUACUACAUCUAUGACAUCAGAAGAAUUUUUGCAUCGCAAGGGAAGCAAACACUCACAUGGAAGUCAAAAGGGAUAAAGCAGCAUGUCAGGGAAGCAGAUCCAGAAGAAGCAUAAGACAAGAUCCAAGGAUUUUAUAACGUGUAUUUUGUAGUUUUAGGGAAGUAAAGGAAGCACCAAUGGGUUACAUCAUGUGUCAACACAACAACAGGAAAAAAAAGUUUAAAAAGAGCAAGAAGUGACUCAUGCCUUCAGCCUCAUUCUCUCUCUCUGAAGACAUCUCAGAUUGUCCAUAAUGUCUGCUCUCACAGGGAGAAAUUAUGAAAAAGGAGCUGAACCUAUCACUUCCAACAGGCUUAAGCACUAAGCCAAAUUAAAUUUAUAUUCAUAUGUUCUAAAACUGUUUGGAUCUCUGCCCUUCAUUGCCAGAAAGGUUAAGGGCUUCCCUCUCUUUUAGCACCUUUCUCAGAAAAGGGUGCACUGGAAAAGAGCCAGUAUAAUCCUCCCUCUCUCCCAGGGUUAGGUCAGAAUUUUCCCUCUUCCCCAACCGUGAGGCAGAGGGAAUAGAUUCUAAGGACCCUAUGGAUGGUACCUUCCUUUUUACCAUGCCCUUCUGAGCAACAGAUGGGCUGCUCAGCUGGUUUACUGCCCUUUGUCUCUCAGCUAUUUUCCUUUCUUACCCCUGAAAAGCAGCUGAAAAUUAAGUAUAGGGAAGAAGAAAUGCAGUGUUGGUAAAUUUGAAAGGAAAU
This is a long non-coding RNA of Myiozetetes cayanensis, 1102 nucleotides long. RefSeq lists it as uncharacterized. Lineage: Eukaryota; Metazoa; Chordata; Aves; Passeriformes; Tyrannidae. The record is from RefSeq and is a predicted model, not a curated record. The transcript is spliced from 4 exons.